GGGCGUUAAGUUGCAGGGUAUAGACCCGAAACCCGGUGAUCUAGCCAUGGGCAGGUUGAAGGUUGGGUAACACUAACUGGAGGACCGAACCGACUAAUGUUGAAAAAUUAGCGGAUGACCUGUGGCUGGGGGUGAAAGGCCAAUCAAACCGGGAGAUAGCUGGUUCUCCCCGAAAGCUAUUUAGGUAGCGCCUCGUGAAUUCAUCUCCGGGGGUAGAGCACUGUUUCGGCUAGGGGGCCAUCCCGGCUUACCAACCCGAUGCAAACUGCGAAUACCGGAGAAUGUUAUCACGGGAGACACACGGCGGGUGCUAACGUCCGUCGUGAAGAGGGAAACAACCCAGACCGCCAGCUAAGGUCCCAAAGUCAUGGUUAAGUGGGAAACGAUGUGGGAAGGCCCAGACAGCCAGGAUGUUGGCUUAGAAGCAGCCAUCAUUUAAAGAAAGCGUAAUAGCUCACUGGUCGAGUCGGCCUGCGCGGAAGAUGUAACGGGGCUAAACCAUGCACCGAAGCUGCGGCAGCGACGCUGAUGCGUUGUUGGGUAGGGGAGCGUUCUGUAAGCCUGCGAAGGUGGCCUGUGAGGGUUGCUGGAGGUAUCAGAAGUGCGAAUGCUGACAUAAGUAACGAUAAAGCGGGUGAAAAGCCCGCUCGCCGGAAGACCAAGGGUUCCUGUCCAACGUUAAUCGGGGCAGGGUGAGUCGACCCCUAAGGC
RNAcentral lists this ribosomal RNA (711 nucleotides) under Salmonella enterica subsp. enterica serovar Goldcoast. Its description in RNAcentral is "partial 23S ribosomal RNA". It matches the Rfam family "Bacterial large subunit ribosomal RNA", at positions 690 to 1397 of the family's 2925-position model. Lineage: Bacteria; Pseudomonadati; Pseudomonadota; Gammaproteobacteria; Enterobacterales; Enterobacteriaceae. The record is from RNAcentral.